This 80-nucleotide non-coding RNA is filed under the name Gongylonema pulchrum. RNAcentral's name for it is "Eukaryotic large subunit ribosomal RNA". It matches the Rfam family "Eukaryotic large subunit ribosomal RNA", at positions 24 to 103 of the family's 3401-position model. The record is from Rfam by way of RNAcentral. Lineage: Eukaryota; Metazoa; Nematoda; Chromadorea; Rhabditida; Gongylonematidae.
CCCGCUGAAUUUAAGCAUAUAACUAAGCGGAGGAAAAGAAACUAACGAGGAUUUCCCUAGUAACGGCGAGUGAACGGGAA